This is a non-coding RNA of Podarcis lilfordi (Lilford's wall lizard), 75 nucleotides long. NCBI's taxonomy places the organism in Eukaryota, Metazoa, Chordata, Lepidosauria, Squamata, Lacertidae. The record is from the annotation of a GenBank genome assembly.
UUGGGAUAGCUCAAUCGGUAGAAUGCGGGACUCUGAAUUUCUGGGUUGCGGGUUCGAGUCCCACAUUGGGCGAAA